RNAcentral lists this ribosomal RNA (116 nucleotides) under Staphylococcus pseudintermedius. RNAcentral describes it as "partial 16S ribosomal RNA". It matches the Rfam family "Bacterial small subunit ribosomal RNA", at positions 1 to 111 of the family's 1533-position model. Lineage: Bacteria; Bacillati; Bacillota; Bacilli; Caryophanales; Staphylococcaceae. The record is from RNAcentral.
UUUAUGGAGAGUUUGAUCCUGGCUCAGGAUGAACGCUGGCGGCGUGCCUAAUACAUGCAAGUCGAGCGAACAGAUAAGGAGCUUGCUCCUUUGACGUUAGCGGCGGACGGGUGAGU